RNAcentral lists this unclassified non-coding RNA (335 nucleotides) under soil metagenome. Its description in RNAcentral is "partial contains 5.8S ribosomal RNA, internal transcribed spacer 2, and large subunit ribosomal RNA". The stretch from base 1 to 120 matches the Rfam family "5.8S ribosomal RNA", at positions 35 to 154 of the family's 154-position model. The record is from RNAcentral.
GAUGAAGAACGCAGCGAAAUGCGAUAAGUAAUGUGAAUUGCAGAAUUCAGUGAAUCAUCGAAUCUUUGAACGCACAUUGCGCCCGCCAGUAUUCUGGCGGGCAUGCCUGUUCGAGCGUCAUUUCAACCAUCAAGCCCCCGGCUUGUGUUGGGAACCUGCGGCUGCCGCAGGCCCUGAAAACCAGUGGCGGGCUCGCUAGUCACUCCGAGCGUAGUAAUACAUCUCGCUCAGGGCGUGCUGCGGGUUCCGGCCGUUAAAAAGCCUUAUUUACCCAAGGUUGACCUCGGAUCAGGUAGGAAGACCCGCUGAACUUAAGCAUAUCAAUAAGCGGAGGA